UGGGGAAUAUUGCACAAUGGGCGCAAGCCUGAUGCAGCCAUGCCGCGUGUGUGAAGAAGGCCUUCGGGUUGUAAAGCACUUUCAGCGGGGAGGAAGGCGAUAAGGUUAAUAACCUUGUCGAUUGACGUUACCCGCAGAAGAAGCACCGGCUAACUCCGUGCCAGCAGCCGCGGUAAUACGGAGGGUGCAAGCGUUAAUCGGAAUUACUGGGCGUAAAGCGCACGCAGGCGGUCUGUCAAGUCGGAUGUGAAAUCCCCGGGCUCAACCUGGGAACAGCAGUCGAAACUGGCAGGCUAGAGUGUUGUAGAGGGGGGUAGAAUUCCAGGUGUAGCGGUGAAAUGCGUAGAGAUCUGGAGGAAUACCGGUGGCGAAGGCGGCCCCCUGGACAAAGACUGACGCUCAGGUGCGAAAGCGUGGGGAGCAAACAGG
This 429-nucleotide ribosomal RNA is filed under the name Chloroflexota bacterium. RNAcentral's name for it is "Chloroflexi bacterium partial 16S ribosomal RNA". It matches the Rfam family "Bacterial small subunit ribosomal RNA", at positions 355 to 776 of the family's 1533-position model. The record is from RNAcentral. Lineage: Bacteria; Bacillati; Chloroflexota.